This is a long non-coding RNA of Marmota monax (woodchuck), 5142 nucleotides long. RefSeq lists it as uncharacterized. Lineage: Eukaryota; Metazoa; Chordata; Mammalia; Rodentia; Sciuridae. The transcript has 4 exons. The record is from RefSeq and is a predicted model, not a curated record.
CCUGUAUUGGUCUGACCUCCAAGAAGCAAGUUCAAGGUGGCCUUAGCAUGCAAAAGAUUCACUAGAAGAAACCCCUGUGAAGAAUAAGGAGUGAGGCCAAGAGCCAGGAAGGGGAGUCUGAAGACCUGACCUAUGGAAGGGGAGAAGGAAGGGAGGAAGGCGGCAAGGGGAGGAGUCCCCGGCCCCAGUGCCAUUCUGGCAAUGGCUUGUCCAGGCCAAUGGACUCUGGACCCAAAUCUGUGUAAGAGUUGCAAAUCUGGCGGGGACGGCCCUGCAUUGAUAACACCAGAGGUUCUCAGGCCUUGACAGCAGCCUGUAGCAAGCGUGGCCUCUUUAAGAACACUGCGUGGAUCCAGAGAGGAGGUGUCCAGUGCUGCAAGCCAGCUGUGCUCCCUGCAGCAGGAGGUCUCCCGGCUCAUUUCUGUGGCCGCCACAACCCUCUUGCAUCCUGACUUCGAUAGAGCCAUCUCAGUCCACAGGCAGCUUUGAGAUCUUGGAAGCUUGCAGGCUCCUUAUAAAGAGGUUGUAUAGUUACAUACACUUUUGGAAGGCAUAGUGGGCAGAUGCCAAGUGGGGCUGGCAUGACCCCACCUCCUGGUAUUCACACUAUCGCGUGAUCUCCUCUGGGUUGUAGGCUAGACUUACUUCUGCCUGAUAAAAUUCGGCUAAAGUGAUAGGAUGCCACUUUGGGGACUAGUUUAGUAGAGAUUGUAACUUUUGUCUUGCUGUCAAUAUUGCUCUAAUAAAAUCUUCCUUGCCGGCUUUGAGGAAAAGCCAUAUGCUAAGAGCCAUGUAACCAGGACCUGAAGCAGCUUCCAGCCAAUAGCCAGUGAGAAAUAGAGCUCCCAACAGCAAGGAGUCGAUCCUGCCAGUGAUGUGCCCCCUUGAGUGGGUCCUGCACCAUCCAGCCUUCUGAUGAAGCCCCAGCCCUGGUCAGCACCUGACUGAAGACGUGUGAUACCUCGUGCAGAGGAUGCAGCAAAGCUGUCCCCAGACCUUUGACCCAGGAGCUCAUAAAUGCAUGUUGCUUUAAACUACUAAAUCUGUGAUCAUUUGUUACACAGCGAUGGAGGCCUAGAGAGAGGCUGAGUCUACCUGUGACCACGAGCGGUUAGACCCUGCAUUCCCUGGACAGAUUGGAGGAGGAUUAUCAGACCUUCUGUCUAAAAGUAGGAGUCCCAGGCCUGAUUCUAACAAGCACAUUAGUAGGCAGCACAGAGUUAACUGCUGACUGUGUGAGCUACAGGUGCAGGACACCCUGGAGUUCAAGGAGCAAGUACAUGAUGCAACCAGGAGUCAGUUAAGUCCUGUGUGGACUCUGCAUUUGUUAGUCAUGCACACGUUCAGUGAAGGAGGACAGGCCUCCCCUCAAGUGAGUGCACAGAGACAGCAGAGUUGACGUUUGUCAGCAAGGCUGAAGAAACAGAACAGGCCAGACUCCUUGUGAUCUGAGUCAGGGAGAGAGACUUACAGAGUUGAUUCACACACACAGGAACCAGAAGGCACAGGGCUUUCAGAAUCAGAAAAUCCACACUGAUGAGCAGACAAAUGUCUGUGUCAGGCUGAUACUUGGACAUGCGAAGGUGGCACAGAGGAAGAGACUCAGAUUUGAUGAAUGCAUUCCAGGGAGGUCAGAAACUGCGACCUCCUCUACCAGCUGCUACCUCCCCUACCCAAGUCCCAGUGGGACCCUCCCAUGGGAGGAUUGGGCUCCUGGCCAGCCACCUGUUUGAAGCUCUAAGAAGAAUGGUCCUACCUGUGGCUCAUGGGUUGUGCCCCACCCUUCCUUGGAGCUGGAUUUUUGUACCCCAAGGGCCACCCUGGAUGGCUGCUGAAGCCCUGCCUUGUUUUUGAGCAUCGUUGGGAAGCCAGGUGUGACGCCCACCUGAGCAUUGACCCGGACAACUGCGGCCAGUGUGAGCGGGCUCUCAGAACAAAUUGAAACAUCCUGAGAUCUGACCAUGGCCUUCUUGACUCAUCAUUCCUCAGGCCUUUGUCCUAUGAGCAAAUCCACCAUGAGAUGCAGGCUCUACCGCGGGCCCAGGCCUGGCCUGUGAAGUCCAGUGGCUUCCCUGAGGGCACAGCCCUGCAGCUCUGGCCCAUUUUAAUUAACUAAUCUUAUGUGCAUGCACUUAGAGAACAACAUAAUAACACGCACCCAUCUCCAGACACAGCAGCUCUCGGUAUUUUGCCGAACUUGUUUUGUGUGCAGCGUGGUUUCCCUAGGUGCAAAGCUCAUCCUUGACUGUGUGCUUUCUUGCUUUAGUAUCUGUCUCUGGAGAUUGAGCAAGGGGAGGUCUCUGAGCAUCUCCUGCUGACCUUUGUUGUCCCAUCAGUCCAGUGUGAUUGCCAGCCCAGCGGGAGAUUUCUAACAUGGUAGCAAGGAUGUGUCCCCUUCCAGCCCCUGUAGGUGUUCAGGGAAUCCCAAUGAUCCCCCUUAUUUGGAUGGUCAGUGUUUCUUUCCCAGACUCAUGUAAUCCCAGCGAUUUCCUGGUAGGGAGACCAGCAAUGCUGGUCCCAGCAACCUGGCUGCUUGUCAUCACGAUUAAUGCUACGUAAACCAAACUGUCUUCUUCUUCUUCUUUUUUUUCUUUUAAAUGGCUUUCUUUAUAUUUAUUUAUUUUUAUGUGGUGCUGAGGAUGGAACCCAGUGUCUCUGACUUGCUAGGCAAGUGCUCUACCACAGAGCCACAACCCCAGCCCACCAAACUGUCUUUAAUUUCAGUGUUCCUUACAAAAAUCCAAAGUUAAUUAUUGACUUGUGUUCAGACACUGGCCUCGGGAACAUGAACCAGUUAUUAAGAAUGAAUGCUAAAGAACCUCAACUGUCAAAGCUCAGGAGAAAACAAAGUCCAGGGUUUUGCAGCUGGUCUUGGAACUCAAACUGUUGGCUGAGGGUUACUGUCCAAACUGGCCAAGGAGGUCUUCACCACCUGCUGGUUCUCUCUCUAGUGUUCAGUUUAAGUACCAAUCUGGGGGCAAAAUUAAGUAAGACAGAGAAAAUGACCAUUUUGCUUGCCAUGUGAAAUGAAAAUUUAUUCUGCCUUGUAUUUGCUAUCAAUUGCCACAUUAAUGUUGUACAACAAAAUAACUCCCCAAACUUCAACACACAACAAGAGCUAUCUUUUCUCAUGUGCAUCCAGUCAAGUUGGGGUUAACCAGGUGGAUCUGAAGACACAUCUGAGGGGGCCUGGCUGCUGCUGACCCAGGCUGGCCCUGGUUUGGGAGAGCAGGACAGUGUAACUGUACGCUGUGUGCCUCCUGUCCCCUGGCAAGCUACUCCAGACAGGUUCUCGUAGUAGUGGUGCAAGUGUCGGAGGGCAACGGGAGCAUGCAAGGCAGCACAGGCUCUGAUUUGAAGCUGGAAUUCUGCCCUGGCUGCCUGCACCCUUAGUCAGAAUGUAGGCUGGCACUCACCCUCAGUGGGUGGGAGGAGGCUGCAAAUAACCUGCAAAAGCAGGAAAAGAUUGGGACCAUGAAUGCAGUCAACUUAUCACACCUCGAUCCAGUAAAGUCAACCUCAGACUUGAAAACUGAUUUUUUUUUUCUCCUAGGAAGGUAGCUGGGGGCUUUCUUUGUUGUUGGGGAGAACAUCAGCUUUGAAGUCUGACAUCUGGAGUUCAAAGGCAAGGUCCCCCAGGUCCUGGCUGGUGGCCUUCCACGUAUUACAGACUUCCUGGGCCUGUGUCCAUGCAUGGGAAGCAGGGCUGCUGUCCACUCUUGACAUGCUGUUGUGAGGGGUCGAAUAGGGGGUGCUUGGUUAGGAAUGACAUGCUGUGGUUGCAAGGUCUUCUCUCAGGGGACAGUGUUCCUCCUAGUUCAGACAGGGGGACUGGCUGCAGCCCAGAUAGAUUCAGAGUAUAAACUGGAGAAUGCGGUUUCCCACAGGGUACUAAGUGCUCUACGUGGCAUCUCCUUAACCAAGGUCAAAGUGACUGCCCCCUUCCUGAAAGAAGCAGAGGAAUCUGAUACACAAGUUGAGGCUGCAUCGGGGUGAAUGCAGAAAAAAUGGUGGCAUGUUCUUCACCCUUAAAAAGAGAAGGAAAUCCUGCCAUUUGUGACAACAGAGGGGGACCUGGGGGACAUCACGCUAAAUGACGUAAUGCGGGGCACAGAAGACAAGCCCUGCUUGAGUGCUCUGCUCUGUAGAGUCCUACCAACUUAGGCAAUCACUCAGCAAUCCCACUACUGCGUGCAUUCAAAGGAAAUGAAGCCAAGAUCUGAAGAGAAGUCCGCGCCAGUCCACGGCAACAGUGUUCUCAACAGCCAGGAAGGGAAAGCACCCGGUGAGUGGAGAGAGGAAAUGUGAAAGGCUGCCCUGGAAGGCUGGUCGGACACGAGAGAGCGUGGAGCUCUGCCAUUGACCACAACCUGAGCCAGGCACAGAAAGAAGGAGCGCACGAUCUCACCCAGGUGUGGGCCUGCAGAGUGGACAUCAUGGAGAUAGACAGCGGAGCGCUGGUGGCCAGAGGCUGGGAUGCUGGGGGAGAUGAGAAGGUGGUGGCUGAAGAAAUGACCCAGGUGGACAGAAGGAAUCAAUGUGGUGACUGUGGGGAGACAGGUAGCAUCCUAGGAGGACGUGAAGAGAGUGAGGAGGUUCUGCGCCCGCUCCAUGAAGGUGACAGCCACCACACUGCGUAGAUAUUUCAAAGCAUGUUGUGCACAAUGAAAACACACAGUGUCGUCUAUCCAUUUAAACAUAAAUAAGCGCUCCACUGGGCUGGAGCUGGAGUGAAGUCAAUUGUAACUUUCCUUCUUGGUCACACCCUUGUCAGGUUUGGGGAUCAAGGUUAUGCUGGACCCAUAAAUGAGUUAAAAAGUGUUUCUCUCUUUUUUUUUUUUUACAUUUUCUGGCAUAAUUUGCAGAAAAGCAGUAUUUUUUUUCCCUGAAGAAUUUAGAAGAAUUUAUUGGUGAUAUCAUUUGGGAGCAGAGUUUUGUUUUGUUUUUGUAGAUAACUUAAAAUUUAUGGAUUACAUUUUUUAAGUGACCAGAAAAAAUACUUCCUAUUGAUUUGGGUCUGGGUUUUCUCCUGGAAAUUUGUCAACUUUUUCCUUGGUUUUUAACUACGUUGGCAUGACAUUGUUUUAUGACGUUCUGUUGAGAUGCUCUUAAUGUCUUGAGAAACUUUGGUGCUCUUCUCCA